UGAAAUGCGAAAACUAAUGCGAUUUGCAUGAACCUGUGAGUCAUCAAGUAUUUGAACGCACCUUGCACCCUUUUGGGGGUAUACCUGUUUGAGGGUUUGAUACUGGUAUGGUCUCUGUAUGAGGCUGAUAUUGGGGGGCUAUCUGAUUGUGAGAUUCUACAGAUUGUGGGAUUCUACAGCAGACCCCUGAAAUGCAUAAAUGGAUCAAAGUCUAUGCCUGUGUGACAGGAGAUGAGACGCAAGUUUAAAGUCCACUCACAGCCAUAAACUCAAACAUCCAACCACAAUCUCCACGAACCUCAAAUCAGGUAGGGCUACCCGCUGAACUUAA
This 331-nucleotide unclassified non-coding RNA is filed under the name uncultured fungus. RNAcentral describes it as "sequence contains ITS1". The stretch from base 1 to 98 matches the Rfam family "5.8S ribosomal RNA", at positions 49 to 154 of the family's 154-position model. The record is from RNAcentral. Lineage: Eukaryota; Fungi.